UUCAUAAUCCAAAUUUCAAUUUUUAGAGUUGACCCGUUCAAAAAAUUAAAGGGGUGGGACAUGUAUAACUACAUUUUUCCAUGUUAAAAAGAUCAUCAUUUGUAUGAAUUGAUGUUUCGAACAUAUCCCGAAAUGAUCUGAAGUUCUCAAUAUCCCCGUUAUCCAUAUUUUGCCAAAUUUAUAGUUACCUAGUUGUAGUACUCACCUCAGAGCAAAGAGUAGGAAACCAUAACAUGGAAGACACUAUAGGAAUAAGCAAGACCAGGUAACUGCCCAAUAGAACACACUAAAAAAAAUGCUUUAACAUAAAAGAGAACAGUUCGUGAACUAAUGGAGAAUGAUACAUUUAACUAAAUAUAUUUGAUAUAUUAUUAUUA
RNAcentral lists this long non-coding RNA (377 nucleotides) under Leptinotarsa decemlineata (Colorado potato beetle). RNAcentral's name for it is "uncharacterized LOC111507962, transcript variant X2". The record is from RNAcentral. Lineage: Eukaryota; Metazoa; Arthropoda; Insecta; Coleoptera; Chrysomelidae.